RNAcentral lists this ribosomal RNA (465 nucleotides) under uncultured bacterium. Its description in RNAcentral is "partial 16S ribosomal RNA". It matches the Rfam family "Bacterial small subunit ribosomal RNA", at positions 28 to 507 of the family's 1533-position model. The record is from RNAcentral.
GACGAACGCUGGCGGCGUGCUUAACACAUGCCAGUCGAACGGAAAGGCCCUGCUUGCAGGGUACUCGAGUGGCGAACGGGUGAGUAACACGUGGGUGUUCUGCCCUGCACUUCGGGAUAAGCCUGGGAAACUGGGUCUAAUACCGGAUAGGAGCCCUUUUUCGUGUUAUGGUUGGAAAGUUUUUUCGGUGUAGGAUGAGCUCGCGGCCUAUCAGCUUGUUGGUGGGGUAAUGGCCUACCAAGGCGGCGACGGGUAGCCGGCCUGAGAGGGUGGACGGCCACAUUGGGACUGAGAUACGGCCCAGAAUCCUACGGGAGGCAGCAGUGGGGAAUAUUGCACAAUGGGCGCAAGCCUGAUGCAGCGACGCCGCGUGGGGGAUGACGGGCUUCGGGUUGGAAACUCCUUUCGCUAGGGACGAAGCUUUUUGUGACGGUACCUAGAAAAGAAGCACCGGCUAACUACGUG